GAUGAACGCUGGCGGCGUGCCUAAUACAUGCAAGUCGAGCGAACGGACGAGAAGCUUGCUUCUCUGAUGUUAGCGGCGGACGGGUGAGUAACACGUGGAUAACCUACCUAUAAGACUGGGAUAACUUCGGGAAACCGGAGCUAAUACCGGAUAAUAUUUUGAACCGCAUGGUUCAAAAGUGAAAGACGGUCUUGCUGUCACUUAUAGAUGGAUCCGCGCUGCAUUAGCUAGUUGGUAAGGUAACGGCUUACCAAGGCAACGAUGCAUAGCCGACCUGAGAGGGUGAGCGGCCCCACUGGAACUGAGACACGGUCCAGACCCCUAGGGGAGGCAGCAGUAGGGAAUCUGCCGCAAGGGGCGAAAGCCUGACGGAGCAACGCCGCGUGGGUGAUGAAGUUCUUCGGAUCGUAAAACUUUGUUAUGAGGGAAGAACAUAUGUGUAAGUAACUGUGCACGUCUUGACGGUACCUAAUCAGAAAGCCACGGCUAACUACGUG
Molecule: ribosomal RNA, 497 nt
Filed under: uncultured bacterium
Lineage: Bacteria
Description: partial 16S ribosomal RNA
Rfam family: Bacterial small subunit ribosomal RNA
Source: RNAcentral